UGAUGAGCACCGAGGGGCUU
This 20-nucleotide unclassified non-coding RNA is filed under the name Chlamydomonas reinhardtii. Its description in RNAcentral is "small RNA Cre_2960". The record is from RNAcentral. Lineage: Eukaryota; Viridiplantae; Chlorophyta; Chlorophyceae; Chlamydomonadales; Chlamydomonadaceae.